UUUUGUGAUUUUUUUUAUUCUUUUUAGUUUUUUAGGGGAUAUUGCAACACUUUUUGGUCAAGAAUCUAAAUCGUGUUAAAAUGAGGGAUUUCUUUUCCAAUAGAGCUCUAUUUUUUUUCCUUCCUCUCUUCCACGUUUAGUCUAUAGUUUUCUCUCUAAACCUUUCCAUUUCUUUCGUCCAUCCUCUUCGCUCUCAAGCAUACGAAUUAGAAAUUGGGUCUUUACUCAGGCGAUUUAUCUUCACACUUGUGAUUGGGUUGUGAAUUGGAGUUUAGAGAAACUAGCGAUUGGCGGUAUGAAUUGCGAGAAGAAAAAGUUGUUUAGGUUUCUAUUCAUAAAAUGAUGGAACCUGAACUCUAGUUCAGCACGGUGUAGCAUGCGUCGGAAUGCAGGGUGGCUUAAGUAUGAAAGAGGCAUAACAUGUCUCUUCUUGUUAGCCUGAUCACCUACACAAACUGGUAUAUGUCCUUUUGGAACUGCUGAUGCAUGCUGAUUUCUGCUAAGAACCUGCUUUGCAGUAGAGAGCAUAGAAGGGAAUCAGAUAGCCAUCUUUGCAAUGAAAUUGUUCAAAGCAGACAAGAAUAAAUGCUUAUAUUUGCUCAUGUAUUUGUUAGUAGCUUUUCAGAUUAUGAUUUGUUGCUUGCUGUUCAGUUUUGUAAGGCUCUGAUAUGCUAUUUGUUGUUCAGUUCUGAAAGGCUCUAAUCUUUUGCUUGAUAUUCAGUUCUAUAAGGCUUUGAUUCUGAUCUGCUGCUUUUUGUUCAGUUCAGUUCCAGUUGGCAGAUUUAUUUUGUUUAGGUUGGGGGGUUUAGGUUUCUGCCCUUCAUGUGCGGUUGUGCUGCUUGUUUAUGUUUCUUCCCGUGCAGCCGUUGUGUGGUUUUCAUCUGCUGUUUUGCAAAAUAGAUCAUAUUAUUUCAUUUGAAUUACAUGCAUUAAUUUUCCUAUUAUAUUGACUAUUUAAUUUGUUUUUCUUUACAGGGUGGUACAUAGAAGGAAAAUGGUAAGGAUGGCAAGAAGGGCAUAGAUUGAAGUUUUUUUGGACUGAUUUUUGGACAAAUAAAUUGAAUACUAGAUAGCUUUUAGAUUGCUUGAACCAUUAGUUCUUUUUUCGAGAUUUAUUAGUUUUCUAAUUGAUGUAUUUAUAAAUUAACAAAUUUUUUUGUUAUUAGAAUGAUUGUUAUGGAUAUUUUAUUUUAAGUAGAACUUAAUUUCAAAUAAAUGUUUUCUAUUUGUAGUA
Spinacia oleracea (spinach) is the source of this 1234-nucleotide long non-coding RNA. RefSeq lists it as uncharacterized. Lineage: Eukaryota; Viridiplantae; Streptophyta; Magnoliopsida; Caryophyllales; Amaranthaceae. The transcript is spliced from 2 exons. The record is from RefSeq and is a predicted model, not a curated record.